Molecule: ribosomal RNA, 452 nt
Filed under: uncultured bacterium
Lineage: Bacteria
Description: partial 16S ribosomal RNA
Rfam family: Bacterial small subunit ribosomal RNA
Source: RNAcentral
AACGAACGCUGGCGGCAGGUCUUAGGCAUGCAAGUCGAACGGGUGUAGCAAUACAUCAGUGGCGCACGAGUGAGUAACGCGUGGGAAUUUGCCCAUCGGUGGGGAAUAACGUUUGGAAACGAACGCUAAUACCGCAUACGUCGAGAAAUCGAGAAAGAUUUAUCGCCGAUGGAUAAGCCCGCGUUGGAUUAGCUUGUUGGUAGGGUAAUGGCUUACCAAGGCGAUGAUCCAUAGCUGGUCUGAGAGGACGAUCAGCCACGCUGGGACUGAGACACGGCCAGACUCCUACGGGAGGCAGCAGCUAAGAAUAUUGGACAAUGGAGGAAACUCUGAUCCAGCCAUGCCGUGUGAGUGAAGAAGGCCUUCGGGUUGUAAAGCUCUUUUAGUCGUGAGGAUGAUGACGGUAGCGACAGAAAAAGCACCGGCUAACUUCGUGCCAGCCGCCGCGGUAA